Molecule: long non-coding RNA, 4198 nt
Filed under: Sus scrofa (pig)
Lineage: Eukaryota; Metazoa; Chordata; Mammalia; Artiodactyla; Suidae
Description: lncRNA (ENSSSCG00000058367.1)
Source: RNAcentral
AUGAGGUGAAUGAGAGAUAAAUUUUCCAAUGUAAAGCCUCUAUGGCAGUCCCCACUUGGUCAUGGCAGCUUUUUAAACGGACAGUUUUGAAAUCGGCCUGCUAAUGUCUUCUUUCGGCUAUUUUGCCUCUGUGCUCGUGAUGCAAACUGACUCAUAAUGUUAUCGUUUGUGCUGUCCUUGUCUGAGACUGUUACGAAGGUUCUGCUAGGUUUGUGGGGUUCCUUGAGCAGCAACCCUGCGUCUUCCAUCUCUAGGGCCUUCUGACUUGCUUAAGGCACCAGGGUCCUUGCAGACGGGCUGAGCGGCGGCCGUCCCUGGGGCUCUCCUUGGAUGUCCUAGCAGUGCUUCCUGGUGUUGGUUACGCCGUCUCCUUGGCCCCCAGGACACUCCCACCUAGGGAAGGAGCAUCCUACCUUUCUGCAGCCCGCCCGCCCCCUUCUGCGGGCCUGGGACCACGGUCGUGGCUGGUCCCUCCUCCGGCAUCGCAGACAAAGCUGCGUGGUUUGACCUAAAACUUUUCUCCCUCCAGUGACAGCCUCCCUGAGCCGUCUCUACUCAGCUUGCUGCUCCCAAGCACUUUAAUCCCUCAGGGACCCUCGCCCGCUGCGUUAUAACAAAAGGUUCCUGUGUUCUAGCUCCACCCUGGACACAAGCCCCAGGCAAGAGGUCACUGCUCGGCUCAUCUUGCAAUUUCCACGCCUUCCGUGGCUCCAGGCACCAAAGCAGACAGGCGGCAGUUUGUCGAAUAAAUGAGCUAUAAACCUUCAGAUCAGUUCAACACAAGCAGCUCAUUACAGAUCCGACAUGCGGUUUGUUAUCCUACCAGCUUCUACCCCGGUGUCCUGAGACCCCCUGGCCGCGUGCUAAUUUAUCACAGAAACAAGGGUCCAGUUUGGAGUCACCGUUUAUUCCUGGAUACGCAUAGUCUCGUUUCUGUUACCAUACGGCUUAGAUUCCCAGAGGUGUUUCUACGUCUCAGACCUGCUCUGUAGUUGCUGUCUUGGGCCGGGGUCUCCCUGUGCUCCCGGCCGCGGUGGACAGGGACUCAGCCUCCCUCUGCAAGGUCACCGGUGUCUGGAUGUGGUGUUUGACCUUGGCUGUUCUUGCUGCAGAGGCUCCCUCAGGCAUUGUGCUGUUUCUCCUGCUCUGCCAAGGUCUCCUCUGGAGGCAGCCUUGCAUGCUUUCUAGAACUCUCUGAGCUGUGGUUCUUUGCACAGGGCCCACUCCGCGGGAGGGGCUCCUGGCCGUGCUGACCUCCAGACGAGGAAGCGGCUUUCCUGGAAGCCUGACCCCCGGGGCCAGCGUCCCCAAGAAGGAGCAGGACGGAGGCUGUCCCCGAGCCUGGUCCUUUUCCCUGUCGUGCUCCUGGAACGCUUCCCAGGAGGCCCUCUGGCCCACGUCCACGGCAAGGGCCAGUUUUGAAACUAAAGCACUUUGCACACACACCUAAACAGGUCCACUUCAGUUAUUUAAUAUUUUAGGCCAUAGUUGUUUUUGUCCAAGCCAUUGGUGAUGGUGACAGUGAUUCUUUUUUGAGUCGGUUGUUAACUUCUGUAAAGCCACCGUGUUACCUUUUUUAAUAAGACAAGGAAAUCAGGCAGGUUAUCGAGACACCAGCUCAAGCAGGGCAGGGUCGGGGGGGUGGGGGGGCUGUUCCGCCAGCUUGCAGAGCGCCUCUGGUUACCGGUUGGCUCUGGCAUAAGGAUGCCUUUGCCUUGAGUCAUGAAAAUGUUUUGGACAAGGAGCUCCCAUGGUGGCGCAGCAGAAACGAAUCUGACCAGGAACCAUGAGGUUGCAGGUUUGAUCCCUGACCUCGCUCAGUGGGUUAUGGAUCCGGCGUUGCCAUGAGUUGUGGUGUAGGUCGCAGACGUGGCUUGGAUCCCUUGUUGCUGUGGCUGUGGUGUAGGCCAGCAGCUGCAGCUCCAGUUCAACCCCCAGCCUGGGGACCUCCAUAAUGUUUUGGACAAGCCUGGAUGUGGAAGAGAAAUGAAACUUCUCAUCAGUGGUUUUCUGAGCAGCGCGGUUCCCAUGCAGCCUGAUGGGCAGUGUCCACCUUGGCCGGGUUUCUGGUUCAGAUGUGGGUGAGGCUGGACAGGGGCUCCCAGAUGCCACUUCUGGGGCUUGGGGCGGGGGAGCUGCUCAGGGCCUCAAAACAAGGACCACUGUUCCUCGUGCUGGGGGCUGUCCGGUCAUCGUGGGUGUCCUCACUGCUUCCCAAGGGCGAGAACUGACUGGAAACCGGUAUGUGAAGAUGUGGAAGCCAGUGCAGCGCGCGCGCGCGCGUGUGUGUGUGUGCACACGUGUGUGUGCACGCACCGUGUGGGAAGUCACAAACCAGGGAGUGGACGGAGGAGGAGGGAAGGGCAGCCCCCCCACCCCCGCUUCCCAGCCCGCCCCGGACCCGCCCCCAGCCCCCCUGGCCCCGGACCCGUUCAGGAAGCACCACGCACUCAGUCCUGUUUUGUUCUUUCACAUUCUGACGUUAUUGCAGGUUUGACUUUUGCUUUUGGAAGCAGCUCAGCAUCCGCCCAACGCCUGUUGCUUUGCCUUGAACCCCACCCGGGCUGGGUCCGGAGUCUGGCCACAGGGUUUCUAGAAGCACUUUCUCAGGGGAGGGGAGGAGGACUUUUGCCACGUGGGCUCACGGGACAGGAAGUGACCCUGGAGGGCAUCAGGCCUGCCCUUUCGACUUGGUGAAAAUAAACAAUUCUCCCACGACCCUGGAGCACGGUGGCCUCCAGAAAGGAGCCCUGCGGGAUUUGACCUCAGGCAUCGGCUGGGUUUACCACGUGCUCCCGGAGCAGCACCCACAGGGGCGACUCACCUCUUGCUGCCUAACAGGUGACCCCAAACGUGGCGCUUAUGACCUCAGUAACCCAGUGUGUGGGGGUCAGGAGGUGGGGAGCGGCUGGCCCGGGUCGUCCAGGCUUAGCGUCCCAGGGUGUCAGAUGUCAGCGUGGGCUGCCCACCUGUGGCCUUAGGGUCCGGUGAAGGAUGCUCACCCACUCCCUGGCAGGCAGGCGCUGGCUGUUGGCGGGAGGCCUCAGUGCUUCGCCUCCUGGCCUCUCCACCAGGCUGUCUGGGCGCCCCCACAUCACUGCAUGAGCGCCCCCGAAUGAUCCAGGGAGGGCAGGCCAGCGCUGUGUCCGGCACAACCUGGUCUUGGGAGUCACGCACCCUCGUUUCCGGGCGCCGUGCUGCUGUCACAAGCUGGCCGUGUCCGCUGUGGGGGCAGCACCCAGGGCAGGGCAGGGCGGGGCAGAGCCGUCUCAGAGCACAUGUCCUGGGCGCCCGCUCCACACCUCGGACCACGGUCAGCCCUUGAUCUUCAUGGUCGCCGUGGUCCUGCUGGUAGCCGGCGUUUCCCACGGCCCGGAUGAAGGACCGGAGAGCAUCUCAGCCAGAGCGAGUCGCCUGCCCUGAAUCCUGCAAAUGGAAGUUGGGGGGGGUGGCAGCCAGGCCCCCAUCCCUGAGGCUGGAGAACCCCCCACCCGCAUGCUCUGCUGUAAUUCGUACAAGGACCAGGGGACGGGAUAGAGAUCCCUGUGCUGCACAGCAAGGGUGCUAUGCUGAGUCCUCCACACACGCACAGGGAACCCCCAGCCGCUGCACCCCAGAUGAGGAGACGCCACUGCUUCUGGCCUGUCGGGGCCUCCCUCCCCCUGCAGCUUUCUGCAGACACCUGUCCUUCCACCUGCCUCGUAUCAGGAUGCCGUGCCCUUAAGAUAAAUCUCCACUCCGCCUGCCGUUUCCCACAGUUUAGACAAUAAAACGCCUGUUAAAUCAAUCUCCCUGUCAUCGGGGGUCACGUUAUUUGAUUAAUCACUGCAUAGAUCUGAGCAAACCGUGGGACUCUGGGAGGGCGUUCACGGUCCAGUUCUCUGGGACUGCCUGCAGAGCCGUUCUUCUCUGGGCUUUUUUGCCUCCAGAGGAGUCUUCCUGACGCCUUCUUGGUCUUUCAGUUUCUUUUAAAAAUGAAAGGAGUUCCCAGUGUGGCUCAGCGGUAACAAACCUGACUAGGAUCCAUGAGGAUUAGGGCUUGAUCCCUGGCCUCACUCAGUGGGUUAAGGUUCCGGUGUCGCCGUGAGCUGUGGUGUAGGUCGCAGACACAGGUGGGGGUGGGAUCUCGUGUUGCUGUGGCUCCGGCAUAGGCCGGUGGCUAUAGCUCCAAUUGGACCCCUAGCCUGGGAACCUCCAU